Molecule: ribosomal RNA, 1574 nt
Filed under: Serratia marcescens
Lineage: Bacteria; Pseudomonadati; Pseudomonadota; Gammaproteobacteria; Enterobacterales; Yersiniaceae
Also listed under: 1 other name
Description: partial 23S ribosomal RNA
Rfam family: Bacterial large subunit ribosomal RNA
Source: RNAcentral
GGUUAAGUGACUAAGCGUACACGGUGGAUGCCUAGGCAGUCAGAGGCGAUGAAGGGCGUGCUAAUCUGCGAAAAGCGUCGGUAAGGUGAUAUGAACCGUUAUAACCGGCGAUACCCGAAUGGGGAAACCCAGUGUGUUUCGACACACUAUCAUGUCAUGAAUACAUAGUGGCAUGAGGCGAACCGGGGGAACUGAAACAUCUAAGUACCCCGAGGAAAAGAAAUCAACCGAGAUUCCCCCAGUAGCGGCGAGCGAACGGGGAGGAGCCCAGAACCUGAAUCGGCUUGUGUGUUAGUGGAAGCGUCUGGAAAGUCGCGCAGCAAAGGGUGAUAGCCCCGUACACUAAAAUGCACAGGUCGUGAGUUCGAUGAGUAGGGCGGGACACGUGACAUCCUGUCUGAAUAUGGGGGGACCAUCCUCCAAGGCUAAAUACUCCUGACUGACCGAUAGUGAACCAGUACCGUGAGGGAAAGGCGAAAAGAACCCCGGCGAGGGGAGUGAAAUAGAACCUGAAACCGUGUACGUACAAGCAGUGGGAGCACCUUCGUGGUGUGACUGCGUACCUUUUGUAUAAUGGGUCAGCGACUUAUAUUUUGUAGCAAGGUUAACCGUAUAGGGGAGCCGUAGGGAAACCGAGUCUUAACUGGGCGAUUAGUUGCAAGGUAUAGACCCGAAACCCGGUGAUCUAGCCAUGGGCAGGUUGAAGGUUGGGUAACACUAACUGGAGGACCGAACCGACUAAUGUUGAAAAAUUAGCGGAUGACUUGUGGCUGGGGGUGAAAGGCCAAUCAAACCGGGAGAUAGCUGGUUCUCCCCGAAAGCUAUUUAGGUAGCGCCUCGUGAACUCAUCUUCGGGGGUAGAGCACUGUUUCGGCUAGGGGGCCAUCCCGGCUUACCAAACCGAUGCAAACUCCGAAUACCGAAGAAUGUUAUCACGGGAGACACACGGCGGGUGCUAACGUCCGUCGUGAAGAGGGAAACAACCCAGACCGCCAGCUAAGGUCCCAAAGUCAUGGUUAAGUGGGAAACGAUGUGGGAAGGCACAGACAGCCAGGAUGUUGGCUUAGAAGCAGCCAUCAUUUAAAGAAAGCGUAAUAGCUCACUGGUCGAGUCGGCCUGCGCGGAAGAUGUAACGGGGCUAAACCAUGCACCGAAGCUGCGGCAGCGACGCUUAGGCGUUGUUGGGUAGGGGAGCGUUCUGUAAGCCGUUGAAGGUGGCCUGUGAGGGUUGCUGGAGGUAUCAGAAGUGCGAAUGCUGACAUAAGUAACGAUAAAGCGGGUGAAAAGCCCGCUCGCCGGAAGACCAAGGGUUCCUGUCCAACGUUAAUCGGGGCAGGGUGAGUCGACCCCUAAGGCGAGGCUGAAAAGCGUAGUCGAUGGGAAACAGGUUAAUAUUCCUGUACUUGGUGUUACUGCGAAGGGGGGACGGAGAAGGCUAGGCUGGCCGGGCGACGGUUGUCCCGGUUUAAGCGUGUAGGGGGUGUGACCUGGUAAAUCCGGUUGCAUACUAACCCUGAGGCGUGAUGACGAUGCACUACGGUGCAGAAGUAGUUGAUGCCCUGCUUCCAGGAAAA